Lytechinus pictus (painted urchin) is the source of this 3104-nucleotide long non-coding RNA. RefSeq lists it as uncharacterized. The transcript is spliced from 4 exons. The record is from RefSeq and is a predicted model, not a curated record. NCBI's taxonomy places the organism in Eukaryota, Metazoa, Echinodermata, Echinoidea, Temnopleuroida, Toxopneustidae.
AUUGACAGAGGCAAUCACUAUACGAACCAUUAACCCGGGCCAUUAACAAAAGACGAAUGAUCACUAAUAAUUGGUCCAUUGUAAUAUGCACUGGGGCGAAACGAGCGCACAAUGGCGGGAGAUUUUGAAAAGCUGAUGGGCUGGCGAGAGUGAAUGUAUUGUGCCGACAGGAAUGUGCAAGUCGUGGAUACGGAAGAGAACAAUGGAAGCGCAUAAAUGCUGAGGGAAGAAAUGGCGUCCAAACAGCAGAAACGUGUUCUAAAAUAUAUAAAAUGAAUUUCUGUUGCUGAUGUUACUGCGUAUGGAAGGAAAGGAUAGACACUUCAGGAAUUGAUUUUAUAAACAACAGUUUGGUUCUAACCAGAUACGGUCACUAAUCGAGCUCUUCUCCGACAGGGGCAGCAUCUUCCCAAUGCAUUCUACUUUCUUAUCAGGAACAUAUACGGUCACUAAUCGAGCUCUUCUCCGACAUCUAGGGGCACAUCCUCCCAAUGUACGAACUCUACUUUCUUAUCAGGAACAUAAUUAUCAUAAUCUGGUGUAGACCUUGACUUUACCCUCAGCUGAAACCUAUAUAAAGAAUACCGCCUGAUCUAUGCAUGAUCCUGAUGAGCCACAAUUGGAGGUAGAGUACAAAAUCGUCAUCCAAGCUGCCUGGUCAUCAUCGAGGAAUGGAGAAGGUUUUCAACAGGAGAUGAUGGUGGGUCAGAUCAGGUGGAUGAGGUUGUUUUACAAUCAGGGUAUAAUCAUUUCAAACUUGCCUUCUGUGUGCAUGUGCAUCAGAAAAAGAAUAUGCGUACUGUUAAACGUUAUCUCAAAUCUAUCAUGCAAUUCUAUUAGCCUGGGCAAUGGUAAAGUAAACUGCUAGAUAUAUUAAUAACUACUGAAAUACAUUCACUUUUUAGAAAACAUAUAAGGUAUUUUAAGGCAAAAAUUACUGUCUCCUUUUGGUUUUUAAAAAUCAAUUUGGAGGGCGUGCAUCUUUAUAAUUUUUGUCUCGCCUGCAUAGCAAAGUAUAUAGGCGCCGCUUUUCCGACGGCGGCGGCGGCGCGGCGUCGUCAACAUCAAAUCUUAACCUAAGGUUGAGUAUUUUUGAAAUGUCAUCAUAACUUAGAAAGUAUAUGGGCCUAGUACAUGAAACUUGGACACAAAGGUAAUCAGGUAUUAAAAUCGUGCCCGAGUUUCAGGUCACAUGAUUAAGAUCAAGGGUCAUUUGAGUCAAUGAACUUUGGCCAUACAUGUUGGGGGAAUCAAAACGAAAUCUUAUCCAAGGUUAAGUUUUUGAAAUGUCAUGACUUUAAAUGUAUAUGGAUCUAGAUCAUGAAACUUAGACAUAAGAGUGAUCAAGCAUCAAUAAACAUCCUGCGUGAGUUUCAGGUCACAUGACCAAGGUCAUGAACUAUUUGGCCGGGCUGUGGUUAUUUGUUGAAUUGCCAUUAUAACUUUGGAAGUUUAUGGAUCUCGUUCAUGAAAUAUGGACAUAUUACAGGGUAAUCAAGUAUCACUAAUCGUCUUGCACAAGUCGGUCACGCAAUCAAGGUCAAAUGUCACAAGGUCAAUGAAUCUAUAUCGUAUUUUUUAAACAUAUGAAUGGUGUUUUUUGUGAACAAUCAUUCUUUAGUCGUUUACAAAGUCAUAAACACUACUGCUGCUAUUUUGAAUCGCGUAAUCCAGUCGAGACUGCCAGAGGCGCUCCACUUUUUACCAAUCAGAAUUGAACAUUGAUAUGCAAUAGAUUAAACUGAAAACUCCAGAAAGUAAAGACAAUUUAAUUUUGGUGACUUUCAGCCAAAAAAUGGGGUACAAAUUCUGUCAAAAAAUGUCUAAUCUGUAUUCGGUAUUUUUACGCAUAGUCUACCUGAUUGCUAAUGUUUCUUUUUCUGUAAGAAUACUUGUAUACAUACUUAAGAAGUUCACUCCCGCCAAGCAUGCACGUCCACUUAUUUCUUCUUUUUAUUUUAGAUAGUUCACAUUCCAUUGUCAAAUCAAUUUCUGCCCAAAUGUCCAAAGUGAACUUUUAAUCAAAACGCAAUGUAUGAUAUUUUCAUUUUGGAUGCCAAUGUGUCCGUUUCAAGAGUUGUCAUUCCUUUGUAUUUUGGUUGCCAAUUAAGGUGCAUAUGGCAACGCUUAAAGAAUUGUCUUUCCUUUUUUACAUUUUUUUGCAUUUUUACAUGAAUGUGUCAUGAUAUUUAUCCCUUUUUUGUUCUGUUUAUUACUAUUGUUUGGUCAUAGUCAUACUACAAAAUUUGUUAUUCAUAGCAGAAUUGAAAUCAAUGAAUGUAUGCAUGCGUGAGUAUAUUCAUAUAUACUUAAAAUAUUCAUAUAAAUUUGCAAAUUUUAGUCGUGUUUCUUAAGACCACCGGGCAGAUUUUUUUUACAAAUCAUAUCGUCAGGUUUUCUACUUAAAAAUGCUAUAGGAGGAAAUCCUAUCACACAAAAUUUUUCAAUAGUUUCCUUCUUUGAGAUUGAAGCGAAGUUGUUUUUCUUGUUAAACUGUCAGUCACUGUAAUAGGACAAACUACACAGCUAUACUGUCAAAGAGAUCAAUGGCCGAUUAAGUUUAACUUUGCUAGUAAGAAACGAGUAGCACAGAAUACUUAGACUAUAACACCUCCAUUACUGAAAUGGGAACAUAGAAUUUAAAUUCCUAUGAUAAAUCUCUACAAAACUUUUUCGUCUUUAAAUGGUAAAGAAAUUUAUUUUUUCUUUCUCAUUCACCCUGUAAAAUGAAUGACCCACUCACACACAAAACGUAAUCUUUAGAUAGAUUCAUAUCUUUAUUCUUUGGUGUUUCUUUGAACUGGCUUUGGGGACUUUUUUCAGGUUUGCAGGUCAAAUAUCGUCGUACGUACCGACCAUACCUGAACAAAAUGUUGGUGCAUUAUGGUUGGCAAUACUCCUUUGAGUAAUACAGUUAAAUAAACUCAAACUUACCGUUUCAUAUCAAUACUACAGAACAGGGCCGGCGGAUGCAGGAUUUUUCAAAAGGGGCACAUUUUCAUUUUCCUAGGUAAAUUUGACAAGCAGAACAAAAAUAAUCUGAAAUAAUAUAUGGUUUUCACAAAAAAUUUGGGCCAUUUUGUCCCACGUACAAUUUGACAAGC